AAUUAAAUCAAAACAAAAGAAAAUGGUUGUUAUCGAUCCUAAAUGGGCUAUUUUGGUGAUCGGUUCUAAGCAACCACGUGUCAGCACCAUUUUUUUUUUUUUUUUGCUUUUCUUUCUUUCUUUACUUUGUUUUUUUCUGUUAGGCUCCUCCUUCUUCAGGUCGUCUCCGUCCUUCUCUGUUACCAGCUCGCCGUCGCGUCUCACCUCUGCCUUGGGUCUUCUUCAUCCUUGUUGACUCAGUCUUGGCUCGUGGUGGUGAUUGAGUUCGUCUUCAGGCCAGCAGACGAACUAAGAGGUAGUGCUUCAUCCUCCGCCGUCGCGUCUCACCUCCGUCGCGUCUCUUGCUUCCCCUGAGUCCUACUGGAGCUGGAGCUUAAUCACCUAGAGAACGAACUCAGAGAUAAGGAUCGAGAAUUAGGGGAAGCACACGCUGAGAUCAAAGCGUUGAGGUUGUCUGAGAGGCAAAGAGAGAAAGCUGUUGAAGAGUUGGAGGAGAAACUCAAGUUAACUGAAUCUCUUCUCCAAGGCAAAAAUCUAGAAAUCAAGAAGAUCAAUGAGUAAAAGAAGGCCUCUAUGGCUGCUCAGUUUGCUGCUGAAGCCACCUUAAGAAGGGUCCAUGCUGCUCAAAAAGAUGAUGACAUGCCUCCUACUGAAGCCAUUCUAGCUCCUUUAGAAGUUGACUUUAAGCUUGCACGCUCUGAGGUGAAUAUAACUCCGGUCGGUUCAGGACUUUAAACACGGCAAAGCCAUAGCCAAAGACUAAAAAGUCCGAUAUUUACGAGGCAUGGAGACGAAAAAGAAGAAACCAGUUAUGCAAAAAGGCAUAAUCACAUAUACAAUAUGAGAAAUGAGGCACAUUCAUGUACUAAAUAAAACAAUACCUAAAUUUUACUGCUUCGUUCCAAAUUUCUUAAGUUCCAAAGGUAGUUGUUCUUUUUUUGUUUCCUUUUGGGUAAAUGCCAAGAUUAGGUUAAAAUAUAGUAUAUAUAUAUUGCAAUGGAAGAAAAAGGUAAUGUUAGGCUUGGUCCAAGAGAUAAAAGGUUCAUAUAUUAUAUAUCAUUGACCAAUUCUGAUUUAAUUUAGUGGAAUUUAAAUUGUAAAGGUGAUCGCGACUCUAGAUCUCAAAUCUUAAUUCAGGGGACAAGGUCGAUGAUCAUCUCAUAUCUGAAGACGAAUUUUGUGCCAAUGGAGUUAGGUCACCUCUUUCUAGCAAAAGAAAAAGAAUGACAAAUAUAUGAAACAUCGAUAUAAUUAAGAUUUAGAAGAAAUAUUUCUAUCAGAUAAGUUUCUUUCCUGUCAAACAUUUGUAUAAGAUAAGCAUUAUAUAAUAUAUAUUAUAUGUGUGUUACAAAAAAAAAAAUAUAUAUAUAUAUUAUAUGUAUAUGCUAUACUAAUAAUAGAUAAGAGUUUGCUUUGUCUGUCUUUACACUACAAGAAAAAAUCAAGGAUUCUGAGGGAAAAAAUCGUCGGAAUUUCGUCGGAAUAACGUUAUUCCGACGACAUACCGACGAAACACGCCGUCGGAAAUAAUUCUUCGGAAUUUCUUUUUUCCUCGGAAAUCCCUCGGAAUUUUCCGACGGAAUUCCGAGGAAAUAAAUUUCCGAGGAAAUUCCGAGGAUCACUAGUUUGUCGGAAAUGUCUUCG
Molecule: long non-coding RNA, 1644 nt
Organism: Brassica napus (rape)
Lineage: Eukaryota; Viridiplantae; Streptophyta; Magnoliopsida; Brassicales; Brassicaceae
Exons: 6
Source: RefSeq, a predicted model, not a curated record